CGCGACAUGUUGUCAUACAAUUUAAAAUUUAACAAAAUUUUUAUAAUAAAUAUUAAAUAUUUUUAUAUUAAAUUUGUUAUAACUACCUUUUUAAAAUCCAAUUAGUUAUAGCUACCUUUCCAACAAAAUGGAUCAAUCAGUGCCAAUAAUCGCAAGUAAAAACACCCACCAAAGCCAUCCAGUGGAUGACCGCUAUGGUGGUGAUGUUGGCAAACCGGAUUCGCCUGAAGUUCGAAUGUAACCACGGCAAACUAUCAUAUCGAAACAAAUAGAUCAAGAAAGCAAUGUCCAUAUUGCCUAAUUGCAUGGACAGAAGGUCAAUUUACUAUCAAAACCAUUCCUUGUAGUCUUAAUGUGAAGAAAAAAAAAUAAGAAACCACCAAAAGCGGUAUCACUUCAGCGAUUGUUUAAAAUGGUAGCCAAAUGUACGGUUUGUCAUAAUACGACAAAUUUAGUUUUCAAUAAAAAUAAUUACCUAAAAAAAAGAGAGUAUUCCAGAAUAACAAAAAAGAAGAAGUAAAUCUUGAC
Adelges cooleyi (spruce gall adelgid) is the source of this 528-nucleotide long non-coding RNA. RefSeq lists it as uncharacterized. Lineage: Eukaryota; Metazoa; Arthropoda; Insecta; Hemiptera; Adelgidae. The transcript has 4 exons. The record is from RefSeq and is a predicted model, not a curated record.